UACGAGGGGGGCGAGCGUUGUUCGGAAUUAUUGGGCGUAAAGGGUGCGUAGGCGGUUUGGUAAGUCUUAUGUGAAAUCUACAGGCUCAACUUGUAGUCUGCAUGAGAAACUGCCGGGCUUGAGUAUGGGAGAGGUGAGUGGAAUUCCUGGUGUAGCGGUGGAAUGCGUAGAGAUCCGGAAGAACACCAGUGGCGAAGGCGGCCCGCUGGGCAGUGGCUGACGCUGAGGCGCGACAGCGUGGGGAGCAACAGG
Molecule: ribosomal RNA, 252 nt
Filed under: uncultured bacterium
Lineage: Bacteria
Description: partial 16S ribosomal RNA
Rfam family: Bacterial small subunit ribosomal RNA
Source: RNAcentral